Molecule: transfer RNA, 64 nt
Filed under: Venitus latreillei
Lineage: Eukaryota; Metazoa; Arthropoda; Malacostraca; Decapoda; Macrophthalmidae
Description: Macrophthalmus latreillei tRNA-Gly
Source: RNAcentral
AUUUUUUUAGUAUAAAAAGUAUAUCUGACUUCCAAUCAGAAGGCCUAAUUCCUUAGAAAAAAUA